RNAcentral lists this transfer-messenger RNA (364 nucleotides) under marine eukaryotic metagenome. It matches the Rfam family "transfer-messenger RNA". From Rfam's summary of the family: Bacterial tmRNA, also known as 10Sa RNA or SsrA, is named for its dual tRNA and mRNA-like properties. Its role is to liberate the mRNA from a stalled ribosome. The record is from RNAcentral.
GGGGCUGACUGGUAUCGACGGGAUCGAUAAUUUUAUAGUAAGCAUGCAGGGGGAAGAUUGUAUACUCCUUAACCAUUUUCAAUCAAACAUUAAUUGGCGAGAAUAACUUCGCAAUGGCUGCAUAAUCUAGGAUUAUAAAGCUUUUAGUCAAUACGCUUGACGCUCAAUAUACAGCGUAACGACUUAAACAACUUUGAGUAAGGACUGGUGGAUACUUCGACUCCUAUCCGAGAUCAAGAAGAUAAGGUGAUAGCGUCGCCGUUUUUAUGCCUGCUAUCACUCGAAAAUCCGAAUACAAACUAAGCAUGUAGAAAGCUAUCGGAUGCUUUCUCCGGACCAGGGUUCGACUCCCUGCAGCUCCACA